This 449-nucleotide ribosomal RNA is filed under the name uncultured bacterium. Its description in RNAcentral is "bacterial SSU rRNA". It matches the Rfam family "Bacterial small subunit ribosomal RNA", at positions 330 to 793 of the family's 1533-position model. The record is from RNAcentral.
GCCAGACUCCUACGGGAGGCAGCAGUGGGGAAUAUUGGGCAAUGGGCGCAAGCCUGACCCAGCAACGCCGCGUGAAGGAGGAAGGCUUUCGGGUUGUAAACUUCUUUUAUUCGGGACGAAGAAAGUGACGGUACCGAAUGAAUAAGCCACGGCUAACUACGUGCCAGCAGCCGCGGUAAUACGUAGGUGGCAAGCGUUAUCCGGAUUUAUUGGGUGUAAAGGGCGUGUAGGCGGGAAUGCAAGUCAGAUGUGAAAACUCAGGGCUCAACCCUGAGCCUGCAUUUGAAACUGUAUUUCUUGAGUGCUGGAGAGGCAAUCGGAAUUCCGUGUGUAGCGGUGAAAUGCGUAGAUAUACGGGGGAACACCAGUGGCGAAGGCGGAUUGCUGGACAGUAACUGACGCUGAGACGCGAAAGCGUGGGGAGCAAACAGGAUUAGAUACCCCGGUAC